UACGUAGGGUGCGAGCGUUAAUCGGAAUUACUGGGCGUAAAGUGUGCGCAGGUGGCCGCGCAAGUCGAGUGUGAAAUCCCCGGGCUCAACCCGGGAACUGCGUCCGAUACUGGCAGGCUUGAAUCCGGGAGAGGGAUGCGGAAUUCCAGGUGUAGCGGUGAAAUGCGUAGAUAUCUGGAGGAACACCGGUGGCGAAGGCGGCAUCCUGGACCGGCAUUGACGCUGAGGCGCGAAAGCCAGGGGAGCAAACGGG
RNAcentral lists this ribosomal RNA (253 nucleotides) under uncultured bacterium. RNAcentral's name for it is "partial 16S ribosomal RNA". It matches the Rfam family "Bacterial small subunit ribosomal RNA", at positions 524 to 776 of the family's 1533-position model. The record is from RNAcentral.